UGGGGAAUUUUGGACAAUGGGCGCAAGCCUGAUCCAGCCAUGCCGCGUGCGGGAAGAAGGCCUUCGGGUUGUAAACCGCUUUUGUCAGGGAAGAAAUCUUCUGAGUUAAUACCUCGGGAGGAUGACGGUACCUGAAGAAUAAGCACCGGCUAACUACGUGCCAGCAGCCGCGGUAAUACGUAGGGUGCAAGCGUUAAUCGGAAUUACUGGGCGUAAAGCGUGCGCAGGCGGUUUUGUAAGACAGAGGUGAAAUCCCCGGGCUCAACCUGGGAACUGCCUUUGUGACUGCAAGGCUUGAGUGCGGCAGAGGGGGAUGGAAUUCCGCGUGUAGGCAGUGAAAUGCGUAGAUAUGCGGAGGAACACCGAUGGCGAAGGCAAUCCCCUGGGCCUGCACUGACGCUCAUGCACGAAAGCGUGGGGAGCAAACAGGAUUAGAUAGCCCUGGUAGUCCACGCCCUAAACGAUGUCAACUGGUUGUUGGGAAGGUUCCUUCUCAGUAACGUAGCUAACGCGUGAAGUUGACCGCCUGGGGAGUACGGCCGCAA
Molecule: ribosomal RNA, 545 nt
Filed under: uncultured bacterium
Lineage: Bacteria
Description: partial 16S ribosomal RNA
Rfam family: Bacterial small subunit ribosomal RNA
Source: RNAcentral